Molecule: long non-coding RNA, 456 nt
Filed under: Gallus gallus (chicken)
Lineage: Eukaryota; Metazoa; Chordata; Aves; Galliformes; Phasianidae
Description: lncRNA (ENSGALG00010008970.1)
Source: RNAcentral
GUCUGUACCACUGAAAAUGGUUUUUGGCAGGUGUAUGGGAUCUGUUAGGUCAGGGCCUGAACCAGUGAUUGAGCACCUGGUGAAGGGGUGUAGCCAGCCCCGGGAGCACAGGUGGAAGCAAUUCACUUGUGUGACCUACGGUCCACCCCUCCCUAACCUCAUUUAACGACUGGCAGCCGCAAGAGAAGUAUCUCUAGUUGGAGAUCACCUCCUUUGGAGCGUUGGGUGAGCUCUGAACCUCAGAAAGGGGAAAAAAGAGUGAAACAGUCGCUGACGUGUCCAAUCUUAAGAUAUGAAGGGACAGUCCAGAGUAAUCAGUAGUGACCUUCAGACAGCAUAGAUGGCGCUACCUGGCACAGCUGCAUCAUGUAACUCCCUUCCUCAAAACAAGCCUCAAGAGAACAGCAGACCCCAGUCUCACUCCAGGUUCACUUGCUGAGUGACUGAUCUGGUCUU